CAAGAAGUAGCUUAUCCUUUAAAGCACCCAGCUUACGACUAGGAGAUGUCAACCACCAAGACCUUUUUGA
Molecule: transfer RNA, 70 nt
Filed under: Gallotia atlantica (Atlantic lizard)
Lineage: Eukaryota; Metazoa; Chordata; Lepidosauria; Squamata; Lacertidae
Description: tRNA-Val
Rfam family: tRNA
About the family: Transfer RNA (tRNA) molecules are approximately 80 nucleotides in length. Their secondary structure includes four short double-helical elements and three loops (D, anti-codon, and T loops). Further hydrogen bonds mediate the characteristic L-shaped molecular structure. tRNAs have two regions of fundamental functional importance: the anti-codon, which is responsible for specific mRNA codon recognition, and the 3' end, to which the tRNAs corresponding amino acid is attached (by aminoacyl-tRNA synthetases). tRNAs cope with the degeneracy of the genetic code in two manners: having more than one tRNA (with a specific anti-codon) for a particular amino acid; and 'wobble' base-pairing, i.e. permitting non-standard base-pairing at the 3rd anti-codon position.
Source: RNAcentral